GCGGGUGUGGCGGAACUGGCAGACGCGCUAGAUUUAGGUUCUAGUGUCUUUAAUGACGUGGGGGUUCGAGUCCCUUCACCCGCA
This 84-nucleotide transfer RNA is filed under the name Secundilactobacillus malefermentans. RNAcentral describes it as "Lactobacillus malefermentans tRNA". It matches the Rfam family "tRNA". Rfam says of the family: Transfer RNA (tRNA) molecules are approximately 80 nucleotides in length. Their secondary structure includes four short double-helical elements and three loops (D, anti-codon, and T loops). The record is from Rfam by way of RNAcentral. Lineage: Bacteria; Bacillati; Bacillota; Bacilli; Lactobacillales; Lactobacillaceae.